GCGGAUGUGGCGGAAUUGGUAGACGCACUAGAUUUAGGUUCUAGCGUUUUCGGACGUGAAGGUUCAAGUCCUUUCAUCCGCACCU
RNAcentral lists this transfer RNA (85 nucleotides) under Pleurocapsa sp. CCALA 161. RNAcentral describes it as "tRNA-Leu". It matches the Rfam family "tRNA". Rfam says of the family: Transfer RNA (tRNA) molecules are approximately 80 nucleotides in length. Lineage: Bacteria; Bacillati; Cyanobacteriota; Cyanophyceae; Pleurocapsales; Pleurocapsaceae. The record is from RNAcentral.